Molecule: long non-coding RNA, 4113 nt
Organism: Mauremys reevesii (Reeves's turtle)
Lineage: Eukaryota; Metazoa; Chordata; Testudines; Geoemydidae
Exons: 3
Source: RefSeq, a predicted model, not a curated record
UUGUCAAAGGCUUUCUGGAAAUCUAAGUACACUAUGUCCACCAGAUCCUCCUUGUCCACAUGUUUGUUGACCCCUUUAAAGAACUCUAAUAGUUAAAUCACUGCAGCCCUCUCUGUGGACGCUUCUAUUUCAGUUUAAGUUCAACUUAUUUUGCUUUAGCUUAAGUCAGGUUUAAGUUAAGUGCAAAAAGACACUUAAACAGAACUAAGGCCUAGUCUACACAGUAAAGUUAUAAUGGCAGGGGUGUGACACCCCCCCAGCAACAUAGUGACGUUGACAAAAACCCUGGUGUAACACCCUAGCCUGGUCUACACUAGAAAGUGAGGUUGAUGUAAGCCACCAUGCACCAACCUCGCUGUGUGUGUCUAGGCUCGAAUUGUCUCCUGCUUACAUGAAGUGCCCCAUUAAGGCAAUACUGGAAAACCACCUCCCCUACUGGCAUUGCACCCUGGGUGACCUCCAGCAGUCAAUGCAGUAGGAGAGCUGACCCUUCCAGUCCUCCAGCAGCUCUCCCACAAUGCCCAACAGUGGCUGCUCUGGUCACAACUGUGAACUCUGUUACCCAGCCCACAGAGACUGGGAACAACUUCCCCUCCCCCCAUAUUUUUGAAAUGGCUUUUCCUGAUUGCCCAGCCGAGCAUGCUGGCUACAUGCUCCAAACACACUCUGGGCUAGAGCAGCCUGGAGCUGUUGGAGCUCCUGGGCCUGGGGGGAGAAGCGGCUGUGGAUCUCUAUGAACAUUGCCGGGGGGAUGCAUCCAGAGGGGUACAAUGGGGAUCGGUAGCAGUGCCGGAGGGAAGGGAAGAACCGCAGUGGGCAGGCCCUGCAGCCAGGGAGCCCAACAAUCGACCUGGUGCUGAGCCGCAGACCUGCAGCUCUUACAGUGAGCUGCCUGCUCUAUGUGCAACCACCAUAAAUACCUCAGAGGAGCCCGAGACAGACCCCUGCUGUGGGAGGAAGACGGGGAGACCCAGCGGCCAGGCACCUUUGUGUGAGCCGGCACCUGUUUGAGAUGCUGCCACAGUCUAGCCCAGGGGUUUUCAAUUGGGGUUGGGACCUUUCCGGUGGUCGUGAGGUUAUUACACGGGGGGUCGCAAGCUGUCAGGCUCCAGCCCAAACCCUGCUUUGCCUCCAGCAUUUAUAAUGGUGUUAAAUAUUUUUUUUAAUGUUUUUAAUUUAUAAGGGGGGUCGCAUUCAGAGGCUUGCCAUGUGAAAGGGGGUAGCAGUACAAAGGUUUGAGAACCACUGGUCUAGCCGGUCCCACCAGGCAAGCACGGACGAGCCUGCUGAAGGGGAAGGACAUGGCGUAAGUGCACGCAGGCAUUUUCCCUGGCAAUGUGUCCACCCGCAGGUAUCAACUUUUCAUCAUUUUACGUCUAGGAGAAGAGGAAGAGGUACAAGACCCAGAGAGAGCUGGCAUCAGCCUUUCCUUCUGCUGGCCCGGCCCCCGGCAGGCUGCACUCGCCAUGGCAGGGACUGGAGCGAGGCACUCCAAAGCUAAUCAUCACAAUCAGGCUGCUGCUGUUGCAGCCUUGAGGGGUGUCUCCUCCACACCUGCAACAUGCUGCAGCCUGAUGCAGAGGAGAAAAAAAGAGGACUAGGGAGAACAUGCUGAGCGGGAUCCUGCAAGCUAGUGCUGCAUUGGACCAUGAACAAAGGGCCUGGUGGGAGCAGGAUAGAAAGGACAGAAGAAAAUGGAGAAAGAGGCAUGAAUCCCAGCAGGAGAAGCAGAUGCACCAGGACAGAAUGGGGCAUCUCAGGGCAGCAAACACAAAUGCUGUGGUCUCUAGCUGACCUAGUGCAGCAGUCACAGGUUCACCUCCCUUUGCAGUCCUGCACCUGCCCCCUCCCAACAAUCCAGUUUUCACCAGGGCCACAUCCCUACCCCUACCGCUCCAGGCCAGCGCACAGGAAGGACAACCACAGCUUCGCAUAUGCCAGCCGUGCCUCUCAUAGGUUCGUAUAUGUGUAGCCAAAAUGGACUUCAGUUGUGCCCUGAAAUGGACAGAAUUGUUUGCUGCCUUUCUAAAUUUUAAGUUCCAUUUGGUUAAUUUAUAUUAGGGGUGUGUAUUGUACAGUAGAACCUCAGAGAUACAAACACCCCGAGAAGGGAGGUUGUUCGUAACUCUGAAAUAUUUGUAACUGAACAAAACGUCAGGGCGCUAUAACCUGCAUUAUGACGUGAUCCCACCAGUCAGGGCUUGUUUCUCGGGCCCAGAAGCAGUGUUCCACCAUUGCAGCUGCGCCAUAAAUGCCACCAACAACCUUGAAAUGUUUUUCGCUAUGUCCCUCAACAAACUGUCUUUGAAGAAACUGUUUGGUUCUUCUUGCAGCUCUGAUAGUUCCGGAGGAUUGUGUGUCCUGUAUUUGCGACGUUCAUGAGACUAGUGCAUAGCUGUGCAGGCUCCAAGUUUCCCCCCAGAGAUGGCGGACACAAAAGAGGGCGGGCUGGGCUUGUAGGAUUUAAAAAAAAAAACGAUGCAACAAUUAAGGGAUAAGAAUGGCAUUAUGGGAUGGAGGAAGGUGCAUGCUGGGAACUUGAACCCUAGUUCCCAGAGAUCCCUGGGUGAGUUAUUUCUAUGCAACAACAACUAGUGAAAUCUUCCCAGAAGACAUUGUGCCAGAUGAUGGCGCGUGGCCUACUGGGAUACCUACCCGUGGUGCACCACACUGUGCAUGGACACAAGCACUACUGGUGAGUACGCUGAGCACCGAUGGAAGCAGGCAAGUAUGCGUAUGCCUGAGUGAUACACUAAUGGCAACGGCUAUACAACAAUGUAACUUGCAUUGACCAAAGUUUGUAAUGUAGACAUGACCCUACAGAAAAUGCCUAGUGUAGGCUGUGUCUACGUUAGCAGACAAUGCUGGCAUAACUAUGCUGGUAUAGCCUCCGUAGUGUAGACACACUCCAAGGCCUUGUCUCCGCUACACAGUUUUGUCGAUGAGUCUGCUUUUGUCAACAAAACAGUGGAAGUGAACAUACUGAAAUGCUCCUCCCGCUGAUGUAACUCCCCUGCUAUGCUGACAUCAUAAACCCACCACAACAAGAGACAGAGCUAAUGUUGGUGUAGUCAGGGUGAUGCCUAAGGCCUGGUCUACACUUAAAGAUUAAAAUCGACCUAGCUAUGUUGCUCAGGGCUUUGAAAAAUGUCACCCCCUGACCACCGUAGUUAGACGUGUAGAUGUGGGUAGGUCAACGAAAGAAUACUUGUCUCUUGGAGAGAGGGAUUAACUACGUCAACGGAGGAAGUGUCCUCACUACAGAAACACAGCUGUGGCGCUGUAGUGUGGACACAGCCUUCUACGGACCCUAUGCCAACAUAGCCCCCUAGUGUAGACACAGCAUAUGUGGAGAGAAGGAGGAGUUUUGCCAGUGUAAGAAUACCCCCUUCCCAAAUGACAUUGGCUGGGCCGACAGAAGCUUGACUCUUCUGUCACAUAGCUGUGGUUAAACUGGGGGUUUUGUGGACAGAGCUAGGUUGCUAAAGGGUAUGUUUUUUCAUAGCCCUGACCAACAUAGCUAUUUUAGUAUACGUUAUAAGUGUAGACUAAACCAAAGCUUUAAACACCAGCUCGUGGCUUUAACAUUUUUCAUUUGUGGGGCAGAGUGGAGGCUCCGGCUUUGUCUACACUAGAAAAUUACAUCAGUAUGGGGUGUGAAAAAUCCACACUCCUGAGCGGUAUUGUUAAGCCAACCUAAGUCUCCAUGUAGACAGUGCUAGGUUGACAGAAGAAUUUUUUCCUGCCUCUCGGGGAGGUGGAUUCACUAUGCUGACGAGAGAACCCCUCACAGCCCUGAUCUUGGCUGGAAACUUCAGGUGCUAAUGAUAAUGUGUGGUUUUGCCACAUACUUUGAGUGAUCUUGGGUAAAUUAACUAAUCUGUCUGUGCCUCCUGUAAAAUGGGGGUGAUAGUAAUAAUUAUCUACCCCACGGGAGAGUUGUGAAGAUCAGAGAUCCAUGGAUACAAGUCUCUAUCGAAGGGGAAAGUAUUCAGAAUUUUUUAACUUGUCUGUCUAGCCGUGGCCAUCAGAGGUCAGCAUGCCCUCAAGGAUCAAUUUGCUGUACGUCCAUAAUCCCCUUCAUUUUCAGUUUAAACUCAUUUUUACUGAAAA